RNAcentral lists this ribosomal RNA (503 nucleotides) under uncultured bacterium. Its description in RNAcentral is "partial 16S ribosomal RNA". It matches the Rfam family "Bacterial small subunit ribosomal RNA", at positions 30 to 523 of the family's 1533-position model. The record is from RNAcentral.
AUUGAACGCUGGCGGCAGGCUUAACACAUGCAAGUCGAGCGGGGUGAUGGUGCUUGCACUAUCACUUAGCGGCGGACGGGUGAGUAAUGCUUAGGAAUCUGCCUAUUAGUGGGGGACAACAUCUCGAAAGGGAUGCUAAUACCGCAUACGUCCUACGGGAGAAAGCAGGGGAUCACUUGUGACCUUGCGCUAAUAGAUGAGCCUAAGUCGGAUUAGCUAGUUGGUGGGGUAAAGGCCUACCAAGGCGACGAUCUGUAGCGGGUCUGAGAGGAUGAUCCGCGACACUGGGACUGAGACACGGCCCAGACUCCUACGGGAGGCAGCAGUGGGGAAUAUUGGACAAUGGGGGGAACCCUGAUCCAGCCAUGCCGCGUGUGUGAAGAAGGCCUUAUGGUUGUAAAGCACUUUAAGCGAGGAGGAGGCUCUUUUGGUUAAUACCUGGGAUAAGUGGACGUUACUCGCAGAAUAAGCACCGGCUAACUCUGUGCCAGCCGCCGCGGUAA